AGAGUUUGAUCAUGGCUCAGAAUCAACGCUGGCGGCGCGCCUAACACAUGCAAGUCGAACGAGAAAGUGGAGCAAUCCAUGAGUACAGUGGCGUACGGGUGAGUAACACGUGGGUAAUCUACCCUUUGGUGGGGAAUAACUCUGGGAAACCGGAGCUAAUACCGCAUAAUCCUGAGAAGGAAAAGCAGCAAUGCGCCGAAGGAGGAGCCCGCGGCCGAUUAGCUAGUUGGUAGGGUAAAAGCCUACCAAGGCAAAGAUCGGUAGCCGGCCUGAGAGGGCACACGGCCACACUGGCACUGAAACACGGGCCAGACUCCUACGGGAGGCAGCAGUGGGGAAUCUUGCACAAUGGGGGAAACCCUGAUGCAGCGACGCCGCGUGAGCGAUGAAGCCCUUCGGGGUGUAAAGCUCUUUCGGCAGGGAAGAUUAUGACGGUACCUGCAGAAGCAGCUGCGGCUAACUACGUGCCAGCAGCCGCGGUAAUACGUAGGCAGCAAGCGUUGUUCGGAGUUACUGGGCGUAAAGGGUGUGUAGGCGGCUUCUUAAGUUUGGUGUGAAAUCUCCCGGCUCAACCGGGAGGGUGCGCCGAAUACUGAGGGGCUAGAGUGCGGGAGAGGAAAGUGGAAUUCCUGGUGUAGCGGUGAAAUGCGUAGAUAUCAGGAGGAACACCGGUGGUGUAGACGGCUUUCUGGACCGUAACUGACGCUGAAACACGAAAGCGUGGGUAGCAAACAGGAUUAGAUACCCUGGUAGUCCACGCCCUAAACGAUGCAUAUUUGGUGUGGGUCAUUCAGUUGAUCCGUGCCCGGAGCUAACGCGUUAAAUAUGCCGCCUGGGGAGUACAGUCGCAAGCUGAACUCAAGGAAUUGACGGGGCCCGCACAAGCGGUGGAGCAUGUGGUUCAAUUCGACGCAACGCGAAGAAUCUUACCUGGGCUCGAACGGCU
Molecule: ribosomal RNA, 946 nt
Filed under: uncultured bacterium
Lineage: Bacteria
Description: bacterial SSU rRNA
Rfam family: Bacterial small subunit ribosomal RNA
Source: RNAcentral